CAGAUUAUAGUUUAAUAAAAACAUUUAACUUACAAUUAAAAAUUACCCGUGUUAAUCUAA
This 60-nucleotide transfer RNA is filed under the name Proasellus spelaeus. RNAcentral's name for it is "transfert RNA-C(GTA)". The record is from RNAcentral. Lineage: Eukaryota; Metazoa; Arthropoda; Malacostraca; Isopoda; Asellidae.